CAGCAUCAAGGUAACCUGACUGGUGUAAAUGUUGAGGCGCCUACUGCUUAUCCUCUUGAAGACAUUAGCAGUUGGAGUUUCAAUGACGGUACCAAUAAUGAAGAGAUGUUGGACACUCUCGUUGCUAAUCUGGAGAUGUAUUUGCCUACUCAGGACAUGAACAUUACAAAUCAAGGUAAUAAUCAUGAAGAAAUGUUUAACUCUCUUGCUGCUAAUCCGGAGAUGCACUUUCCUACUCAGGACAUGAACAUUACAAAUCAGGC
Molecule: long non-coding RNA, 263 nt
Organism: Brassica napus (rape)
Lineage: Eukaryota; Viridiplantae; Streptophyta; Magnoliopsida; Brassicales; Brassicaceae
Exons: 3
Source: RefSeq, a predicted model, not a curated record